CCUACGGGAGGCAGCAGUGAGGAAUAUUGGUCAAUGGACGAGAGUCUGAACCAGCCUAGUAGCGUGAAGGAUGACUGCCCUAUGGGUUGUAAACUUCUUUUAUAAAGGAAUAAAACGAGGCACGUGUGCCUUUUUGCAUGUACUUUAUGAAUAAGGAUCGGCUAACUCCGUGCCAGGAGCGGCGGUACUACGGAGGAUCCGUGCGUUAUCCGGAUUUAUUGGGUUUAAAGGUAGCGUAGAUGGGUUGUUAAGUCAGUUGUGAACGUUUGCGGCUCAAACGUAAAAUUGCAAUUGAUACUGGCAGUCUUGAGUACAGUUGAGGUAGGCAGAAUUCGUGGUGUAGCGGUGAAAUGCGUAGAUAUCACGAAGAACCCCGAUUGCGAAGGCAGCUUACUAAACUGUGACUGACAUUGAUGCUCGAAAGUGUGGGUAUCAAACAGGAGUAGAUACCCCAGUAGUC
This 460-nucleotide ribosomal RNA is filed under the name uncultured bacterium. RNAcentral describes it as "partial 16S ribosomal RNA". It matches the Rfam family "Bacterial small subunit ribosomal RNA", at positions 338 to 795 of the family's 1533-position model. The record is from RNAcentral.